GAUUAUGUGGAAAUCUCAAACGAGAUUCGGGAACAAGCUGCUCAAUCCGUCCAAAUGGUGCAAAUGAUGGAGAAGGCAAAGAAUUCAAGGGGUGAACUUGUACAGUGUAGAAUGCUCCGAAUGUCAAGGAAGGCUUGGCACAUAUCCUUUGAAAUAGAGUGUGAAUAAAGACAAAUGUUAACAUGC
This is a non-coding RNA of Lonchura striata (white-rumped munia), 186 nucleotides long. The record is from RefSeq and is a predicted model, not a curated record. Lineage: Eukaryota; Metazoa; Chordata; Aves; Passeriformes; Estrildidae.